AAAUCAGGCAGGACUACCCGCUGAACUUAAGCAUAUCAAUAAGCGGAGGAAAAGAAACUAACAAGGAUUCCCCUAGUAACUGCGAGUGAAGCGGGAAGAGCUCAAAUUUAAAAUCUGGCGGCCCCCUGGCUGUCCGAGUUGUAAGCUAGAGAAGCGCAGUCCGCGCUGGGGCCAUGUACAAGUCUCCUGGAACGGAGCGUCAUAGAGGGUGAGAAUCCCGUCUCUGACAUGGACCUCCCAGGGCAUAGCGAUUGCGUUCUCAAAGAGUCGAGUUGUUUGGGAAUGCAGCUCCAAAUGGGUGGUAAACUCCAUCUAAAGCUAAACAUAGGCGAGAGACCGAUAGCGAACAAGUACCGUGAGGGAAAGAUAAAAAGAACUUUGGAAAGAGAGUUAAACAGUACGUGAAAUUGUUGAAAGGGAAACGCUUAAAGUCAGUCACGUCGGCUUGGGAUCAGCCUUGCAACUGCGAGGUGCACUCCCUGGUUCGACGGGUCAGCACCAGUUUCGACCGCUGGAGAAAGGUCGGGGGAAUGUGGCAUCCUCGGAUGUGUUUAUAGCCCUCGAUUGCAUGCAUCGGUUGGGAUUGAGGAACUCAGCGCGCCGCAAGGCCGGGUUUUCGAACCACGUCCGCGCUCAGGAUGCUGGCACAAU
This 651-nucleotide ribosomal RNA is filed under the name uncultured Basidiomycota. RNAcentral's name for it is "LSU rRNA". It matches the Rfam family "Eukaryotic large subunit ribosomal RNA", at positions 8 to 635 of the family's 3401-position model. Lineage: Eukaryota; Fungi; Basidiomycota. The record is from RNAcentral.